AAGCGGAGGAAAAGAAACCAACAGGGAUUGCCUUAGUAGCGGCGAGUGAAGCGGCAAAAGCUCAAAUUUGAAAUCUGGCACUUUCAGUGUCCGAGUUGUAAUUUGAAGAAGGUAUCUUUGGGUCUGGCUCUUGUCUAUGUUUCUUGGAACAGAACGUCACAGAGGGUGAGAAUCCCGUGCGAUGAGAUGUCCCAGACCUAUGUAAAGUUCCUUCGAAGAGUCGAGUUGUUUGGGAAUGCAGCUCUAAGUGGGUGGUAAAUUCCAUCUAAAGCUAAAUAUUGGCGAGAGACCGAUAGCGAACAAGUACAGUGAUGGAAAGAUGAAAAGAACUUUGAAAAGAGAGUGAAAAAGUACGUGAAAUUGUUGAAAGGGAAGGGCUUGAGAUCAGACUUGGUAUUUUGUAUGUUACUCUCUCGGGGGUGGCCUCUACAGUUUACCGGGCCAGCAUCAGUUUGGGCGGUAGGACAAUUGCAAAGAAAUGUGGCACUGCCUCGGUAGUGUGUUAUAGUCUUUGUCGAUACUGCCAGCCUAGACUGAGGACUGCGGCUUCGGCCUAGGAUGUUGGCAUAAUGAUCUUAAGUCGCCCGUCUUGAA
RNAcentral lists this ribosomal RNA (594 nucleotides) under Lodderomyces orthopsilosis. RNAcentral describes it as "eukaryotic LSU rRNA". It matches the Rfam family "Eukaryotic large subunit ribosomal RNA", at positions 48 to 658 of the family's 3401-position model. The record is from RNAcentral. Lineage: Eukaryota; Fungi; Ascomycota; Pichiomycetes; Serinales; Debaryomycetaceae.